RNAcentral lists this ribosomal RNA (394 nucleotides) under uncultured bacterium. Its description in RNAcentral is "partial 16S ribosomal RNA". It matches the Rfam family "Bacterial small subunit ribosomal RNA", at positions 338 to 729 of the family's 1533-position model. The record is from RNAcentral.
CCUACGGGAUGCUGCAGUGAGGAAUAUUGGUCAAUGGGCGAGAGCCUGAACCAGCCAAGUAGCGUGAAGGAUGACUGCCCUACGGGUUGUAAACUUCUUUUAUAAAGGAAUAAAGUGAGGCACGUGUGCCUUUUUGUAUGUACUUUAUGAAUAAGGAUCGGCUAACUCCGUGCCAGCAGCCGCGGUAAUACGGAGGAUCCGAGCGUUAUCCGGAUUUAUUGGGUUUAAAUGGAGCGUAGAUGGGUUGUUAAGUCAGUUGUGAAAGUUUGCGGCUCAACCGUAAUAUUGCAUUUGAUACUGGCAGUCUUGAGUACAGUAGAGGUAGGCGGAAUGCGUGGUGUAGCGGUGAAAUGCAUAGAUAUCACGAAGAACUCCGAUUGCGAAGGCAGCUUAC